UCAAAAUUUAUAGCUUAAAGCUAACACUUAUAAAGAAGAUCCGCAUCCCAGGUUGUGAGUUUUGGGGAUAGCACUUCAGAAUGAGAUAAAAGCUGCUUGAGGUUAGAUACAUAUGAAGGCUUGUAAAUAUUUUGAAAAAUGGAAUUAAUAUGUGUUCUGGCAGCACAAAAGUCUUUUAGGUAGCCUUGAGUUAUUUUAGAGUGAGGGAGCUUUCCCUUCACAUCUCAUUGUGCCAAGUAGGACUCCUGCUCUAAGAUGUCUUACACACCUGGCUCUAAGCAGCAGCUGUAGUAAUGCAUAUGUGAUGUCGCUGCUGACCUCAAGAGGGGGCUCCACACAUUGAGUAAAAACAAAGCAAUCUUACAUGGAGAGGCCUUCCUGACACUUGUCAUCACUGCUGCCUUUGAAUGUGUACCUUAGUGUCAUCUCUGAGAUAAGGGCCAGUUCUAAUACAUGUGGCUGAUCAACAGGACAUGGUUGAAUACUUGGUAAGGACUUCUCUUUAGGAAUGGUUUUCAUGUAUUAAUCUAGUUUUAAUUAAUCUAAACAUUGAUGAACUUGAUUAUAUUUUGGUGCAGAGCUGAACUGCUUUAUCAGAUGGGAAGUUUUGUCUCAUGUUCACUAAAUCCAAGUAAGUUUACCCUAGAAUUAUUAAAAACAGAGAGAAGUUCUAGUUUCAUGUCUUUCACGCUUCUGAACAACAACUUUUUGUGCUAUCUGUUCUCUGAUUUACACCCACCAGACUAAUUUACAAACAACUCCUUGCAGUGUAUUAACGUUUCAUGAUGAGAUGAAGUGGAAAGUGUUCUAUGACACAAAAGCCCUUUACUCAAGGGGUACCGCAGGGUUGAGAAAAGCUUUCCACUCCAAAUGGUGUCAUUAUGUUCUCUAUAAUGGGUGCGAUUGUUUAAUAAUGACAUAUUUGAGCUGAGAUGAUUGAACAUACAUUAUUUGAGUAAUAAAAACUCAAUAGGCUAUGCCUUUUUAAGCAGUUAAUGUAUGCCUAGGGUAAGAUAAGACAGAAAAGCCUCGUUGUCAUCCUCCAUAAAAAGAGCAAAAUCUUAAAGGUGCAGGUUUGAAAGUAUAUUUCUGUAAACGGGAUUUACACAGAAGGCUAUCC
RNAcentral lists this long non-coding RNA (1120 nucleotides) under Homo sapiens (human). RNAcentral's name for it is "HSALNT0038279". Lineage: Eukaryota; Metazoa; Chordata; Mammalia; Primates; Hominidae. The record is from RNAcentral.